GCUUACGGCCACACCGCCUGGUUCACGCCCGAUCUCGUUUGAUCUCGGAAGCUAAGAUAGGGUGGGCCUGGUUAGUAAUUGGAUGGGAGACCGCCUGGGAAUACCAGGUGUUGUAAGAU
RNAcentral lists this ribosomal RNA (119 nucleotides) under Scophthalmus maximus (turbot). Lineage: Eukaryota; Metazoa; Chordata; Actinopteri; Pleuronectiformes; Scophthalmidae. The record is from RNAcentral.